RNAcentral lists this ribosomal RNA (508 nucleotides) under uncultured bacterium. RNAcentral's name for it is "partial 16S ribosomal RNA". It matches the Rfam family "Bacterial small subunit ribosomal RNA", at positions 28 to 523 of the family's 1533-position model. The record is from RNAcentral.
GAUGAACGCUAGCUACAGGCUUAACACAUGCAAGUCGAGGGGAAACGACAUCGAAAGCUUGCUUUUGAUGGGCGUCGACCGGCGCACGGGUGAGUAACGCGUAUCCAACCUGCCCAUCACUUGGGGAUAACCUUGCGAAAGUAAGACUAAUACCCAAUGAUAUCUCUAUAAGACAUCUGAAAGAGAUUAAAGAUUUAUCGGUGAUGGAUGGGGAUGCGUCUGAUUAGCUUGUUGGCGGGGUAACGGCCCACCAAGGCGACGAUCAGUAGGGGUUCUGAGAGGAAGGUCCCCCACAUUGGAACUGAGACACGGUCCAAACUCCUACGGGAGGCAGCAGUGAGGAAUAUUGGUCAAUGGACGAGAGUCUGAACCAGCCAAGUAGCGUGCAGGAUGACGGCCCUAUGAGUUGUAAACUGCUUUUAUAAGGGAAUAAAGUGAGUCUCGUGAGACUUUUUGCAUGUACCUUAUGAAUAAGGACCGGCUAAUUCCGUGCCAGCCGCCGCGGUAA